RNAcentral lists this ribosomal RNA (551 nucleotides) under uncultured Diversisporaceae. Its description in RNAcentral is "SSU rRNA". It matches the Rfam family "Eukaryotic small subunit ribosomal RNA", at positions 548 to 1098 of the family's 1831-position model. The record is from RNAcentral. Lineage: Eukaryota; Fungi; Glomeromycota; Glomeromycetes; Diversisporales.
UUGGAGGGCAAGUCUGGUGCCAGCAGCCGCGGUAAUUCCAGCUCCAAUAGCGUAUAUUAAAGUUGUUGCAGUUAAAAAGCUCGUAGUUGAACUUCGGGGUCUACCCAUUGGUCAGGCUUAAUUAUCUGUACUGGUGAGAUGGAUCUCUACCUUCUGAGGAACUUUCAUGCCAUUUAUUUGGUGUGAUGGGAAAUCAGGACUGUUACUUUGAAAAAAUUAGAGUGUUUAAAGCAGACUAUCGUCUGAAUACAUCAGCAUGGAAUAAUGAAAUAGGACGGACUGAUUCUAUUUCGUUGGUUUCUAGGAUCACCGUAAUGAUUAAUAGGGAUAGUUGGGGGCAUUAGUAUUCAAUUGUCAGAGGUGAAAUUCUUGGAUUUAUUGAAGACUAACUACUGCGAAAGCAUUUGCCAAGGAUGUUUUCAUUAAUCAAGAACGAAAGUUAGGGGAUCGAAGACGAUCAGAUACCGUCGUAGUCUUAACCAUAAACUAUGCCGACUAGGGAUCGGAUGAUGUUAAUUUUUUAAUGACUCAUUCGGCGCCUUACGGGAAAC